ACCCAUCUUAUCCCUCAAAAAAAAAAAAUUCCUCAAACAUCUUCAGACUAUUUUUAGUUUUCACUCCAAAAUGGGAUGCAAUUCUUCUGUGUCAGGUUGGCAAAAAUGGCUCUGUGCCAGUAUUUUACUUCGAGUUUUCUCACUCUACAACAGUAUUUUCCUGGAGCUGGUUACUUGGGUGUGUCUGUUCUCAAAUGACAUCCUUAAUAAUGUAGUUCAUGUAUUAUUUUUGUGUACUACGUAUGUGUAUUGCCCAAACAGUAUGAGUUUUUCUCUGCUUUUCCAUUUUCCAUAUGAUAUUUGUUUGAUAAAUGGAAUAUAGGCUAUUUUAGUGAAGGGAAAGCACUUAAGUUAGCUUUUAUUCAGCAGUUCCAAGCUUCUGAACUGCCGUUGGGUUUAACUGUGGUAUUUGGGAUCAGAAGCCUUUAACUGGGUCUGACUCUGCUUCCUGGUAGCAGCACUGCUGCUCAGUUGAGCAGGAUUCCCAUAUGACUCCUGUAACACAGCAAAGAGUUCAGCUCUAGAGUUCAUCUACUUUACAAUUACAGCUGCCUCCCUCGGAGGAUGCAUCAUCUGUGCAACAAACUGCUCUCAAGGUACUGUAAAAAGCCUUUCCUUUUUCUGUGUGGGAGUUUCACAGAGCAGACAGCUAGGAAAUGAUCUGAAUGUGCAUAGGAAAUGAAGACUUACUUAUCUGCAGCUGCAAUUCAAAGGAAGCACCUAUAUGUAGCAUUGCCAGCAAUAACCCGAAAUAGAUUCACUUUCUCAAAGCAUUUGAUCUUAGGAAAAAAAUUGCUUGGCAUUUUAUGAAGUUUUUCUUAUAAAUCUGAAUCUGUUGGGACAAAACUUGUUGCUCACAUAAGUCUCUAGAGACACUGGAUUUAGGGUGUUUUUUGGGGAUGAUUUUGCAUUAUUCAGAAGGGAUAGGGGUUGCUACCCUCAUCUUGUUCUCCAAAGAAGUUCUUUGGGCAGUUUUUUUUUCAGGGUAAAACAAAAGUGCAGCUACAGGACUGACAUGGAGAAGGGGAACAGGAUGGUAUGCAGCCACUUGUACACAUGAGCUCAUGGGCCACAACAGUCCCCGAUGUCCACCUGACCACAGAGCCCUGGGACACUGCCUAUGCCUCAGAAAUCUGAUCAAACAACAUUGCAGGUGGCUGCAGAAAGCUCCUUGAGGAGGGCAAAGGGAAACAGGGGAAGUUUUCCAACACAAGGGAAACAGCCUGGGAGCUGCUCUGAGUUUGCAGCCCACCAGCCACAAAGGAGAUCUGAGUCAGAAGGGAAUCAGUGAGGGCUGUGCUCAGCCCAUGCCAUAAUGAAGAAUGAGAUGGGAAAAAUAGGGAAUAUUCAAAAAGGUAGGUUCAAAGAACCACACAUUUCCCUCCUAGAAGGUCAUGCCACAAAAAGUACAGUAAAUAUUCCAUACAAAAUCAGCAAUGGAAAAAAAUGAAGAAAAUGCAAAGGGUGGAGCACAUGUGUUUCAAAACCUCAUAAUCUGUGAUAGAAUCACACUGAUGCAAGAUUGCAAGAUUGCAAGGAUGCGAGGAUGCUGGACUGGAUGCACACUAUCCUGAACUGUGCAUGUUAGUAUGUGUGCAUGUGUGUAUGUGUGCACAUUGUGUGCUGGGGGAAUACGUAGGGAAUUAAAUCUUUCUCUGAACACAUAGCUUAGUUAUAUGACAGAAAUUAUUUUUCAGAUGCCUCCUACCUGUAAGUUUCAUGUACAACUGUGGGUCAGUGGAUCCCAGAAGUUCACCUGGGCUGCCUGUAUAGCUCACCAGUGGGCAGAAAUGGCACAUGCAUAACCUGAUCCAUGCAAGGGACACUCCGAUGGGUGCAAUGCUGCACAUAUGUUGUUUUGCUUCCCUAGGUCUGAAUGCCAUUUAGGACACUUCUAAAACCACUGCAUCUGUUAUUCAGUCUGCACCAUGUUCCCUUAGUAGAGCAUGACUUUUCCCACAUAAGACAGACAAGGGUGUUGAUUUCCUAAUCUUUUCCCCACAGGGAUGAAAGAGCAAGAACACUUAUUUCUGAAGCAAUGUUAGCCUGACUCUUACCAGAGAAAAGAGACAAGAGAUUGAAACGUUGAAAGAAGAGUAAGGUUCUGACCUGUGCUUAUGUCUUCUUGGAAUGUAUUUUAUCAGUCUGUUGUACAAAGGAAGAACAUUUCUGUCCCUGUGCUUUCAAGGUCAGUGGGUGAGCCCUGGCCAGUCUUUUCACUGGAGGGUACCACCAAGGUGAGGUUGCACUCCUGGGCAGACCUGAGUAAUGCAUCCAAUAGGGAGGAGGGUUUAGUAUGGACCUUCUGCUCAGUCUUUCCACUUUGGUACUUGUGGAGACCUUUAAGCUAUGCGUAAUUGAUGUAACAAGUUCCUUGAUUGAAGUCUAUACUCUGGAUGUAAAAUGCAGGUACCUCAAUCAUUCUUCUGACUUCAUGUUUGGCAGGCAGAUAGCAAAAAAAUGAUGUAUUGAUCAAUUUUUAGAAAACAUCAGCAAUAGGGAUGGGAGAAAUGUUUUGGACAUAAUUAAACUCUUAAAUCAAACCUAGCAGCCCAACAAACUUCUCAAGAAGCUUCUGAAGCUCAACUUCUCUCAUACAUACACCUCUCCCUGCCUUCGCCCAGGACUAUAAAUGCUGAAGCAAUGAGAAAUCCUGCUCUCAGAGGGGUCUGUAUCAAUAAAACCACAGCAGACUUGAAAGCUUUGGGGGGAGGCUUGUUCUCACCAUUGUUUCACCUCUCUGAGGGUUUGUUUUUGUUUUGUUCUCUUCCUCAACAGCUGUACUUAUGAAGAGAGAAAGGAAUAUAUUGUAGAUGUUGUUGUUUGUAUACUGCAGGAAAAAUUGUAGAGGGCUGUCUUCCCAUCCCAGACAGAAGCAGGGAUCUAGGAUUGCAUGCUUUUUCCAUCACCGGCUGUCUGCCUGCAUACGUGACCUAUUGAUGUCCCUGGUGAUCUGUGCAGAGACUUGUACAGAAAGGAGUGCUGCCUCUUGACGUUAAGAUUCAUUUUGACCUCCAGAAAAAGGAUUUUUGGGUGGCCAACAUCUGACAAAACAAUCUGCUGGAAGCCUCAUUGAAGGAACCUUGCAGACUUUCCUGCUGCUUGCCCAGAUUUCCCCACAGAGGGAGCAGAUCUGGCACGGGUAAUGGGAGCAGUCUGAUUUCAAAACGCACCGUGCCAUAAAUUCCAUCAAAGGAAGAAGCACCGCGGAUCAGAUGGCAGGCUCCAACCCACCCGCCCCACUCCAUUUGCCUGCCUAAAUCUGUUGGGAUGCCAGUUCUUUUUCUUUUACUUUCUUUUACUCCUAUUAAUUCAGUAUAUCAAGCCUGCUUGUGCAUAAAGGGAAAUCUGCAGCACAUUAGAUUAACACUGUCUCUUCCGAAGUUGUUUGCAGUUCUGAAAGCCAUCCUUCACAGUCGGUGUAUAAAUAAUAUCGAGCCACGAGAGGGAGCGAGAGUACUAAAUAAGGCAGUUUGGGAUUUAAGAGGGGGUUAUACUUCUGGAUAAGCACAGUCAGCUUUACAGUGAUAAAGACACAUAAAACAUGAAGAGCUGGAAGAAUGAGAGGUAGCGUGGGGUGGUGGCUCAGAAGGUAAGUGGUUGUAUUAAAAAGCGGGAAACCAAACAAUUGUUUAAAGCCAUUUUGAUACAUGUGUUAGGUGUCGGGGUUUUUUUUCGAUUCUUGAUUUCUUUUUAUAGAGAACACUGCCUGAGCUGCCGAAUGGCAUAGAGAUGUAGCUGUUACAAGUACCUUUAUACCAUCUGUCUAAGGGAAAGGGAAAAGUGGAGUAUUAAAUAAAGUGAUUAAUCUGACCUUCAGCUGCACGGAAUUUAAACAUAAUAUCUUUACAACAGCACUGCUGAAGCAAGGUUUGCCUUUUCUGUCACUGCUCGCUUGUGUGGCUGUGAGCAAAUCACCCAAACCCAGAUCCUCAGGGCUAAUUAGGUAACUAAUACUCAGAAAAAUUGCAGAACUGAAGUACCUAAAUAAUACUGUAGUCCUAUUUCCCCUAUGCCUCAUUUGCUCUAUAUGUCUGAAGUGAAUGUGUUAUAACUUCUUCCCCGCACAGAGAAACUAAAUAUGCUCAAUACACUAAAGAGUGUAAUAAGGUUAUAUGUUGCAGUUACCUGGGGCUCAGAGGCUUGGAUUGUUACAACUAGCAUAAAAUAACUGGAUUAUUUUUUUUUUUUUAAUGAUGCUAUUUUUUGUUUCAGUGCAUCCUGGGCUGUUUUUCCAUGCAGCCAUGCAGAAGGCAUGCUGCUGAGGCUACAAGCCAGGUAGUCUGAUUAAAAAGUCAAGAUCCCCAGAGCUCUGCAGCAAGGCACGCACGACAUUGAUCUGGCUUCCUAUUACAUACCUGUCUU
Falco peregrinus (peregrine falcon) is the source of this 4365-nucleotide long non-coding RNA. RefSeq lists it as uncharacterized. Lineage: Eukaryota; Metazoa; Chordata; Aves; Falconiformes; Falconidae. The record is from RefSeq and is a predicted model, not a curated record. The transcript is spliced from 3 exons.